AUUGAACGCUGGCGGCAGGCCUAACACAUGCAAGUCGAGCGGAUGAAGGGAGCUUGCUCCUGGAUUCAGCGGCGGACGGGUGAGUAAUGCCUAGGAAUCUGCCUGGUAGUGGGGGAUAACGUCCGGAAACGGGCGCUAAUACCGCAUACGUCCUGAGGGAGAAGGUGGGGGAUCUUCGGACCUCACGCUAUCAGAUGAGCCUAGGUCGGAUUAGCUAGUUGGUGGGGUAAAGGCCUACCAAGGCGACGAUCCGUAACUGGUCUGAGAGGAUGAUCAGUCACACUGGAACUGAGACACGGUCCAGACUCCUACGGGAGGCAGCAGUGGGGAAUAUUGGACAAUGGGCGAAAGCCUGAUCCAGCCAUGCCGCGUGUGUGAAGAAGGUCUUCGGAUUGUAAAUCACUUUAAGUUGGGAGGAAGGGCAGUAAGUUAAUACCUUGCUGUUUUGACGUUACCAACAGAAUAAGCACCGGCUAACUUCGUG
This 484-nucleotide ribosomal RNA is filed under the name uncultured bacterium. Its description in RNAcentral is "partial 16S ribosomal RNA". It matches the Rfam family "Bacterial small subunit ribosomal RNA", at positions 30 to 507 of the family's 1533-position model. The record is from RNAcentral.